CUCGGGACUCCCACGUGGCCCCUGUGGGUGUGGUCGCGAGGUGUCUGUAGCAGGUGGAGGUGCGUCACUGGAUAGGCUGGAGGACCGAUCUUGUGUGGAGUACCUUCGUUUAUCCCGGAGUGGCAGUCCUCACUGCUCAGUCGCCCACGUGAGACUCAAGUAUUCGCAAAACAUCAAUUACAGUACAUAUUUGCCUAUUGAGAUGAUUUUUUUUUUUCAUACCGGGGAUCAAACUUGGGACCUUGCACUUUUGAGGCAGGUGGCGGCGGAACCAAUGAGCUAAAUCCCUGGCCCAGAGAUGAUUUUAAUAUGUGCUACAAG
This 321-nucleotide long non-coding RNA is filed under the name Heterocephalus glaber (naked mole-rat). RNAcentral describes it as "lncRNA (ENSHGLG00000044598.1)". The record is from RNAcentral. Lineage: Eukaryota; Metazoa; Chordata; Mammalia; Rodentia; Bathyergidae.